CGGUGAGGUAGAGGAGCGGGCAAUAUUAGUAAUCAGCUGGAGAAUGACAACGAUGAAAGCUGUGAAAGGGUUGUUUGCCGAAGCAUAAUAAGGGUCAAACUUAUUUAUAGCUGGUAUAUCUUUGAAAAAGGGAUAUACUGUCAUGCAUUGGUGUGCAUGGAGCACUAUUGAUCGA
This is a regulatory RNA element of Oceanobacillus picturae, 175 nucleotides long. It matches the Rfam family "Lysine riboswitch aptamer". From Rfam's summary of the family: Riboswitches are metabolite binding domains within certain messenger RNAs that serve as precision sensors for their corresponding targets. Allosteric rearrangement of mRNA structure is mediated by ligand binding, and this results in modulation of gene expression. The record is from Rfam. NCBI's taxonomy places the organism in Bacteria, Bacillati, Bacillota, Bacilli, Caryophanales, Bacillaceae.